GCAAAAUACGCUUCCACCUCCCUCACCUCCCCACGAGGCCACGGCAGAAUGGCUGCUGCUUCUCCCCGCAACGUGUCUCUCCGGCUCCCCUCGCCAGAUCCCCCACCCUCGGCUCUUCCUCCCGGUGAUGGAGAGGCGCACCUCCAGCUCCCGGGAAGCACGACCAGCACCGUUAGCUUCUCCCCUCUCCCGCCGCUUCCCCUCCCCGCCUCCCCCAUCCCCUUUCUGUUGAUUGCUACCGAUAGGAAGCACAUCCGCCACAUCGGGUCCAAUGGAUAACGCAUUAUUGGUACUUUGAUCUGCAAAUUUAUUUGUUUCAACCUUACCGAUGCAAGUUUUCUGUCUGGCGUACAAGUAUUGAGAGAUUGGUUGUUACAUGCUUGGCGAAAUUUUAGAUGAAACAUAUAUCGGCCUUCAUCAGAGAUAAGUAUUCAUGCUCCUUUCUAUUUUUAGAAUCUUUUAGACCAAGCUGCCGGUAUUACAUACUCACCCAUCCCAUUUUAAGUGCAACUAUAAAUUUUCGUACUUAACUUUGAUCAUCCGUCUUAUUUGAAAUUUUUUUUAUAAUUAGUAUUUUUUAUUGUUAUGAGAUAAUAAAACAUAAAUAUUACUUUACUCGUGACUUAUGUUUUUAAAUUUUUUCAAAAAAUAUUCAAAUAAGAUGGACGAUGAAAGUUGGGCGUAAAAAACUAUAGUUGUACUUGAAAUGGGACGGAGGGAGUAGUGAAAAAUCAGUUUUCUGUAAAUUGGUUACUUCCAGUGGCGGAAGGGUAGGGCAGCUAGGGCUGCUGCCCUACUCCUAAACCUAAAUAUCCAUUAAAAUUUACAUUUUAAAACCUUAAAAUUAAAACAUGGAAGAUAAAGGUAAUUACGUAAAUUAUACAAGUUGAGCCCUAGGCUACGUCACUGGUCACUUCUAUUUCAAAUUCAGCUUAUACACGUGUUAGUGCGUGCAUUGCCUACUGUUUAGCAUUCCAUCAAACAACCAUUCAGUACUUAAACCAUGCUCUGACCAUCCACUCUGGCAUGGUGUCGAAACAAGAUUUCGGCAAUAAUAAAAGGGGUGGCUAUCAAGCUAGGAAAGUGGAUGGGUUUGGAGACAAGGAAUUUUAUACAGGUUCAGACCUUCUUAUUCAAGAAGUAAUACCCUACUCCUGUCCGGAGAUGAUUCCGCCGAGUGUGUUAUUGAUUGUAUGAUUGGGAGAAAAAGAAUCGUCCUGAGAGGAACCCGGACCCCUCCUUAUAUAGGGGAAGGGAUCCGUAUUACAAAAUACAGUCCAUAUCCUAACGGAACAUGGGAUUACAGAUAAAAUACAAUCAUAACCGACUAGGAUCCCGGGUAUUUUCUUGUCAUACAAGUUUAGAAUCUAACCCGAGUCCUCAUAAAGAUAUUCUAUCUAUAUUUGGUACCAUAUAUCCAGCUGGAAUGUAACCGCCAUGUAGAUAUGGGGUAACCAUAAUCUCCACAGUAGCCUCCGAGACCUUCACAGUUGACCAAAAUAGUCUUCUCGAAACAAAAAACAAUAAUCCGAGUGCUUCAAUUCAACUUGCUUCGGCUUGCCGAGUGCUAAAAGACUGUGAAGGGCGAAAAUAAAACAUGGUGCAUCGAGUAGAUGCACCUAAUUAGGUGUAGCCCCCGACUAUGUGAUUAGUUAAAAAACUAAACAUAUAGUCAAGGACCGGGUGAUUUUAUUUCGAAGCAUGCAUGGUACUCAAUAAAAUACCCAGCCGACUGCUUCUCACUUGAAUAUAUCAAGGAUAAAAAAUAUGAAAAGGGCCGAAUGAUAAACACUCAAAAGGUCCAAAAAUAGAUAUAUUUGGUAGGAAUCCGAGUAAGAAACUCUUAAAAUGAUCUACCAAAUAUGAUAAAGAUCAUGGUAAUUAAGAAGUUCAUUAGCUUAGGCUAUAACCCUUACCAUAAUCAAAAUAAGCAUAUAACAUGCUAGGAGAAUGACUACUAAUAAACCAGUCAUCUCAAAUUAACCCAACAUCUUUUGUAGCCUAAAAAAGCUUACAAAAAUGGUAUAACACCUUUCUGUCGGGCACCUUCUCAUGUGAAUCAUAAUAAUUCCAAAGAAUUAUUGAAUCGCGUUAAAAAGGAUUUUAACAGCAUCGGACCGCAUCAUUGUGAGCACAUAUUGCCAAAGCAAAAAGCGCCUAAGUUCCUAAGGAUCACAACGGGCCACGCUGAAAACAUAAUUGGGCUGAAGUACUGUACAGGCCCAGGCCCAUUAGUACUCCCGAUACCCUAAAGACACCGAAGUCCAAACGUCGUUUCGUCUUCCCCACCGAGACUCUCGCCAUUCCCCAUUCCGUGCUACAGUACAGAACCGCACCGACGAAGCUAGGGUUUAUCAAUCUGCUCCAACCCUCAAAAACUUCACGAAAUUUCUCCCCGCGUCCACCACUCCGAUUCCCAUUCCUCUCCAGCCAUAUCUCGGACCAAAUCAAACCAUCCAGUUCACAUUCAUGGCAGAAGAAAGAGAAAGCUUCGAGAGUCAGUGGGCGCCCUCCGAUGUGACAGAAGAUAACCUGAAGGAGAUGGUGGCGCACGGCGUUCUCCCAGCGAAGGAGAUUAUCGGGUGGCGACCGGCGUUCUGCGAAGCAUUCCCGACCCCCGACACACACGAAAUCGUGGUAUUCGCUCAUUUCUUCUAUGGCGGAUUUUCUCUUUCAACCUCUAGAUUCUUCCGGGGGAUUCUGAACUUCUACGGGAUUAGCUUGCAUCACUUGAAUCCAAACUCUAUAGUGCAUAUUGCCAAUUUUAUCCAUGCCUGCGAAGCUUUUCUGGGCAUUAGGCCUCAUUUCGCCUUGUUCCGCCGCAUCUUCUUCCUCAAGCCCCAGCCAAACAAAAGCAAACCAUGCGUUGUUGGGGGAGCUGGUUUCCAACUCAGAGGAACCUUGAGCCAAAAAUAUUUCUCCAUGCCCUUCAAAACCUCAAAGAAAGGCUGGCAUGCAAACUGGUUCUAUGUUCAAAAUCCUGAGCCCGCACUCCCCGAGUACUGCUGUCUUCCUCCGGUUUACCAGGACACAUGGAACUCAUUGCCUAUGGGAGAUGAAGCUGCUCAGGCAAUGGAAUUGAUGGAACGCAUGCUAAAACUGAAGGAACAAGGUUUGCAGGGAGAACAGAUCACUCGGCACUUCAUCAAAAGUCGAUUAGCUCCAAUCAAAGAGAGGUCCCGCACAGCUUUUGAGUUUGAUGGCAAGCAUGAUCCAAAUCGGGAAAAUCCAGAUUCUCUCGACUUUAAGGUCAUGAAAGAAAGAAUGUACAAGAUCUUCUCAAACGCUAUUGUUGUCAGCUAUUCACAUCUGCUGCCCGUUGUGCCAUUCAACGCAUUCAACCCUCCUCCACCGGAAUUUGCUUUGAUGAAAUCGGAUCCUCCAAUUGCUCAACGCCGAUCACCUCGCCAGCAAACUGGUCAGGCGAGUGGAGGACCAAAAAUUCGAUCUAACGCUCGACCAAGUGCUUCCGAUCCAGUCGGCCAGUCAGAUGCUCGCAAGAGGAAGCUGGUUCUAAGCGACGAGGAAGGCGAUGAUACCGGAAGGCUCGGAGAAAAAGGAGCGACCGGAAAAUCCCCAAAGCCAACUAAUCCGAAGAAGAAAACCUCCAGUCGUCCUUUGCCAAAAAUCAGAAAGUCUUCCAGGAAGCCGUCUGACAUAGAUCCUUCCGAAAAGGACCCCGAGCUGGCUGACAUAGAGGCAAACCCUUCAAAAGAAACCGGGCCAACUGCAGAAGAUCGUCCGAGUGACAAACAACCGGCAACCGACAAUGUAGAACCUAGCAACGAGCCCCCGACUGGGAACCAGUCGGCCGAAGCUGAAGUCGGUGCUAACCAGGAGCCCCCGACUGGAAACCAGUCGGAUGCAGGGCCAAGCCAAAAGAUUCCCGAGAUUGAAGCUCAAACGAACAGUCCUCUCGGGAAGGAUGCUGACAAUUAAUCAGAAACCAGAUCUCCUGUGAAGGCACCAAAGUCCACUCGUCCCCGACCGGGAAUCAUCACAGGGCCAAUAAUUGGUGAUGAAGAAGAGAUCCUCCGGAUACAAGCAGCUGAGGAUUCACGCCUUCCGAUUCUGGUCAAGUGGUGGGAUGACAACAUGCAGCCUCAAGGGAUCGUGAUAAAUAAGCAAAAAGAGGAUGAAGAGUUAUGCCUACUGAAAAAGGCACUUGGUCAGGCAACCCGUAUUGUAAAUAGGAUUCAUCUUAGGAACGAAGCCAAAACGGUAACCUUAGAGAGGUUAGUCCCUCAUCUCGGGACCCUCGAAGCCACCAGGAAUCAACUGCACGAAGCGAAAGAACUUGCCAGGAAGAAUGAACAUGAUCUGAGGGAUCGGAUUGCUAAUCUCCAGGAAUCAAAUUUUGAACUGAGUGGCUCAUCAAAAGUGCAAGCUGCCAAGAUAUCUCCGUUGGAAAAGCAGAUUCAAAUUCUGGAAAAUGACAAGGCAGAACUGGCAAAACAAAGAGACCUGGCUUUAAAGGAAGUUGAAGACCGCAAGAUCAAAUCUCAAGCUCAAUUCGAUGUCCUGGUUGGCAAGAUCAAAAAACUUGAAGGAGCCCGGGAUGAGGUUGCUAACGCUGCUGCCCCAAUUGUUCAAGCGAUGUUUUUUAAUAACAACGGCCUGAGUGCACUUGAUGCUUCUGAAAUUUUCGACAAGCUGAGAGUUGCUCCGGAUACAUAUUUCAAGAACAUCAAAGAAGCUGGAAGUAUGGGAGCAAGUCUGGCGUUGGUGAUGACCAAAUCCCUUUAUCCAAGAGUUGAUAUUGAUGCCAUUGAUGGCUUUGCAGAUAGGACGAGCGAAGAAGCUGCUCUUGACCUCAUCAGUGAUGCGCAGAAAGCGGCUGACAAAAUUGCUGCUGAUGUAGUUGAGAGAUUCUAAGAUGUCGACCUUCGGCCGACUGGGUCUGAUAAGUCUGAUGAUGAAAAAACUGAUACUGAUUAAUGUACCAAUGACUUUGACGAUUAAUGAUGAUGGAGGCACAAUUUGUACAAUACUGAUGAAUUUAUGCUGUGCUUAAUAUCUUAACUUA
This is a non-coding RNA of Oryza sativa Japonica Group (Japanese rice), 5026 nucleotides long. Lineage: Eukaryota; Viridiplantae; Streptophyta; Magnoliopsida; Poales; Poaceae. The record is from RefSeq and is a predicted model, not a curated record.